GCCAUUCUCCUGCCCCAGCCUCCCCAGUAGCUGGGACUACAGGAGCCCGCCACCACGCCCGGCUAAUUUUUUUUUUUUUUUUUUUUUUUUUUUUUUGUAUUUUUAGUAGAGACGGGGUUUCACCGUGUUAGCCAGGAUGGUCUCGAUCUCCUGACCUCGUGAUCCACCCGCCUCGGCCUCCCAAAGUGCUGGGAUUACAGGCGUGAGCCACCACGCACGGCCAAUUUCAAAGUGUUUUCAAACUACUGCAGCCCUCUCCCAUUGCUGUGGUAACUGGAUGGAAAUGCAUCUAGCAAGAGAAAAUGUACAUAAAGAUUACCUCCCUCCCUCCUCUAGGUUUCUGCAGGUGAGAAGGUGUCGUGAUAGAAUAAUGAACAUUUCCUGUGGGGCUGGCACUGUAUUCUACAUAGAACUCAUUUAAUACAACAACCCUAUAACGAGGAAGCAAGCCAUGUGCAUCAAUUAUCAGGAACGCUUUAAUCCAACUGGGACCCCAAACAAACACCCCGUUUUAAUCCCGGGUGAAGUGAUACAAACAAUUUACAAAGCCUCACGACCCGGCAGCAACCCGAGUCUUACGUGAUCUGGCGAAACUCAUCUGCCUCCUAAGCUCCAACGCCACUGGUUUUCUUUCCAUGUCUCCAGUACUCAGCUCCUUCGGGUCUAUGGCAAUUGUACUUGCUGUUCCCCCUGCCUGGAUUAGUCCUACAGCUUGCCCUGACUGCAUCCUUCUCAUCAUUCAGAUCUCAACGCAAGCAUCACCUCCUUCCUCUGAGGCCUUGGCCUUCAACAUCCCAUUCCCUACCCCACAUCAUUCCAGACUGGAAGCUCUAGAGCUGGCAUUAGAACACUGUCUGGCCCACAAGCCUUCAAUACUUCAACAAAUGCUCGUUGAAUCCAAAAACGCUGAUUACUCUGCAAUCUGCCAGCUCACCCCACUCCCUCUCAAAAUACCUAGGAGAAUUAAUUUAUAAAGAAAACAUAAGCACGCGACAGCGUAACACAUCGACUCAAAACAAAGCCGGUAAUCCGGGGCUGAACUGGUCAACGGCAUUUAAAGAAGGCCCCAAGAAAACCCUUUCCUGAUCGUGCACACACUUUUCAAGAGGCGAAACCAGGGGGACAGGGCGGUCGGCGGCGCAGCGCUGCCUACCUUGAACUCCGCGGAAAGUUGGGGCGUGUAUUCGCGAGUCCAGAGCGCGCGCACCAGCGCCGCCAGCUGCUCGGUGACCUCGGCGCGGCCCGGCGCCGCCUGGUAGCGCCCCAGCGCCAGGAACUCGGCCAGCAGGUCGGUGUUGCUGAGACACUGCACCACCGCGUUCAUGAAACAGGUGUUGCCGUGGUUCUUCAAGCCCUGAGCGCCCGGCGGCCGCGCCCCAUCGCCGGCGGG
Molecule: long non-coding RNA, 1390 nt
Organism: Pan troglodytes (chimpanzee)
Lineage: Eukaryota; Metazoa; Chordata; Mammalia; Primates; Hominidae
Exons: 3
Source: RefSeq, a predicted model, not a curated record